CAAAUUUUGUAUACUUAAGAACUAAUUAGGAAACAAAGUUGGUCCCAGCAGAAGGGAUUUUGGCCAUGUAUUCAAUGUAAUGUUUAGCCCGUGAGUAGAAGGCAAUAAUGGGUGGGUGGGUGUGUGUGGGGUCAAAGGGGUUUGGAGGCCAUAAAUAAGAGCUACAGCUACAGAAACAGCAACAUCCAUCCAGCUCUGUUCUUGUGUAAUGUGCAUAUCAGUUCUGUGGAACCAAAGGGAAGAGAGAGAGCUCAGAGACUGAAACAGAGGGGGCUGAGAGGGUGAAGUGAGCCAACAAAAGGACCCAAUUAUGAACCCAGAGAAGAAAAAAGCUUCAGACAAUUGCCUCUGCACUUGGAGUGGAUGAUUGAGUGGAUGAUGAUGAUGAAGAGGGAGAAUUUUGCUUACUUCACCCAUGGCUGAGGCGGAGAGCUCUGGGUAGCGGUGGGUGUUGUUGGCUGAGGCGGAGAGCUCUGUGUAGCGGUGGGUGUUGUUGGCUUCGGCUGCUGUCUCUGGGUCUGUGUGGGCGAGGGAGUCUGGAUUUAUGGGCGUGGGAGAAGAGGAGAAGAGAAGAGAAGGGGUUUUGAAAGCUGGGUAAUCUGCAAAUCUGACGUGGCGCCAUUUAAUGCAGGCACCCCAUAUGUCCCUUUGUACUCACUCUACUUUCCAAUUUUGCCCUUCACUUUCAAAUUUUUGAAAAUAUAUAAUUAUGUUCUAA
Cucurbita moschata (crookneck pumpkin) is the source of this 718-nucleotide long non-coding RNA. RefSeq lists it as uncharacterized. Lineage: Eukaryota; Viridiplantae; Streptophyta; Magnoliopsida; Cucurbitales; Cucurbitaceae. The record is from RefSeq and is a predicted model, not a curated record. The transcript has 3 exons.